RNAcentral lists this long non-coding RNA (1092 nucleotides) under Calidris pugnax (ruff). RNAcentral's name for it is "lncRNA (ENSCPUG00000002301.1)". Lineage: Eukaryota; Metazoa; Chordata; Aves; Charadriiformes; Scolopacidae. The record is from RNAcentral.
UUAUUAAUUCCUCUCAAUGAUUAUUGAUCGGUGUGUGUUCAUUUUGCAGACAUCAAUGAAUGUGAAAAUGAAAUUAAUCCACCAUGCUCUCCUUCUGCUAAAUGCAUUAACACUAAAGGCAGCUACAAAUGUCACUGUACUGAACCUUGCAAGCUGGCAGAAGAUGGAAGAACAUGCAUUGGUGCACCGGACACAGUGGAAGGUUUCUUCUGAGCUGACAGGCUACGGCUGCAAUGGAACCCACCUGAAGUUACACUCCCAAAGCCUGCUACUGGCAAUGUGUGCUUUUAUUUCUACCUAAUCCAUGCAAAGUUGAGUUCAGGCUUCCUAUAAACUUUAACCACCUUUGCCUUGAAGCUGGAAUGUCUCUUUUCCUUCCUCGUUUAUGUUACCACAAACAUGGAUGAAAUGGAAAAAGGCAGCAGAGAUUUGGACACACCUCAUGUUCCCUCAGCAAGAAUGCUCACUGACACAAAGUAUGCAAGCCCAAUAGCUGCUCUUGCCAAAAAGUAAUCUAGAGAGGCAGCAAGUUUUGUCACUAGCCCAAUCUGAGGGCGCAGCUGAGCAUCAGUGUCUAUUUCGGCUUUGAUUUUUUUUUUUCAUUCUUCUACCUGUGUGAGUCCAAGGCAGAACCUGUUAUCUCAAUUUGUUAUACAAAUAUAAUUCAUUCAGAGGAGGUAAUUUCUGUAUCUAAUACUGAUUUGCACUGGGGUAGUGGCAAGAGGACCCUGUGCAAGUAGAGCAGGACCGGCACCAGAUCCUCAUUCGAUUAAUUCUUUAGACACCUUUGAGUUUAGACAGAAGACAAAAGAUGUAGAUAUGAAAAAUACAAUGGGAAGAUUUAAAAAAUAAUAGUGAAACAAUUGUGAUCUACUUCUGUAGUACUCGGGCUCUUUCAUCUUUCUAAUGAAACGCUGUGCACUUUUAUUUUCAAAUUUUAAAUUAUCGUAUAGGCAAUAUAAUUAUUGAUUGUGCUUUUUCCCAGUGGGAACUAGGAAACAGGAACUAGGAAACAGUGAGCUCUGAUUUCCAAAACCAAUCUCCAUAUCUAGGGAAAAUAAAAGUAUGCCAGAAUUUAAUUUCGGUGAAAAU